RNAcentral lists this ribosomal RNA (465 nucleotides) under uncultured bacterium. RNAcentral describes it as "bacterial SSU rRNA". It matches the Rfam family "Bacterial small subunit ribosomal RNA", at positions 355 to 825 of the family's 1533-position model. The record is from RNAcentral.
UAGGGAAUAUUGGACAAUGGGUGAGAGCCUGAUCCAGCCAUGCCGCGUGCAGGAAGAAGGCGUUAUGCGUUGUAAACUGCUUUUGCCAGGGGAUAAAAUGACCGUGCGCGGUUAAUUGAAGGUACCUGGUGAAUAAGCCACGGCUAACUACGUGCCAGCAGCCGCGGUAAUACGUAGGUGGCAAGCGUUGUCCGGAUUUAUUGGGUUUAAAGGUGCGUAGGUGGCCCUGUAAGUCAGUGGUGAAAUAUCUCAGCUUAACUGAGAGGGUGCCAUUGAUACUGCAGGGCUUGAGUACAGAUGAGGUAGGCGGAAUUGACGGUGUAGCGGUGAAAUGCAUAGAUAUCGUCAAGAACACCGAUAGCGAAGGCAGCUUACCAAGCUGUAACUGACGCUGAGGUGCGAAAGCGUGGGGAGCAAACAGGAUUAGAUACCCCCGUAGUCCCUGAGCGGGCUGGCAAGGCGCAU